GUGCACACUUUGGCAGCACAUAUACUAAAAUUGGAACAAUACAGAGAAGAUUAGGUUGCCCCGUGAAAGGAUGAUAUGCAAAUGUGUGAAGCAUUCUAUAUUCUG
Myodes glareolus (Bank vole) is the source of this 105-nucleotide small nuclear RNA. NCBI's taxonomy places the organism in Eukaryota, Metazoa, Chordata, Mammalia, Rodentia, Cricetidae. The record is from RefSeq and is a predicted model, not a curated record.